This 301-nucleotide ribosomal RNA is filed under the name uncultured bacterium. RNAcentral's name for it is "partial 16S ribosomal RNA". It matches the Rfam family "Bacterial small subunit ribosomal RNA", at positions 509 to 808 of the family's 1533-position model. The record is from RNAcentral.
CAGCAGCCGCGGUAAUACGUAGGGUGCAAGCGUUAAUCGGAAUUACUGGGCGUAAAGCGUGCGCAGGCGGUCCGCUAAGACAGAUGUGAAAUCCCCGGGCUUAACCUGGGAACUGCAUUUGUGACUGGCGGGCUAGAGUAUGGCAGAGGGGGGUAGAAUUCCACGUGUAGCAGUGAAAUGCGUAGAGAUGUGGAGGAAUACCGAUGGCGAAGGCAGCCCCCUGGGCCAAUACUGACGCUCAUGCACGAAAGCGUGGGGAGCAAACAGGAUUAGAUCCCCUGUAGUCCCUGUCUCUUAUACA